AACGAACGCUGGCGGCAGGCUUAACACAUGCAAGUCGAACGCCCCGCAAGGGGAGUGGCAGACGGGUGAGUAACGCGUGGGAAUCUACCUAGUUCUACGGAACAACACAGGGAAACUUGUGCUAAUACCGUAUACGCCCUAAGGGGGAAAGAUUUAUCGGAAUUAGAUGAGCCCGCGUAAGAUUAGCUAGUUGGUGGGGUAAUGGCCUACCAAGGCGACGAUCUUUAGCUGGUCUGAGAGGAUGAUCAGCCACACUGGGACUGAGACACGGCCCAGACUCCUACGGGAGGCAGCAGUGGGGAAUAUUGGACAAUGGGCGAAAGCCUGAUCCAGCCAUGCCGCGUGAGUGACGAAGGCCUUAGGGUUGUAAAGCUCUUUCAGUAGGGAAGAUAAUGACGGUACCUACAGAAGAAGCCCCGGCUAACUUCGUGCCAGCCGCCGCGGUAA
Molecule: ribosomal RNA, 447 nt
Filed under: uncultured bacterium
Lineage: Bacteria
Description: partial 16S ribosomal RNA
Rfam family: Bacterial small subunit ribosomal RNA
Source: RNAcentral